GUACUGAAACACCCAUCUGAAGGAGGAUUUAGCAGUAAGCGGGAAGUAGAGCGUCCCGCUGAAACUGGCCCUGAAGCGCGCACACACCGCCCGUCACUCUCCCCAAAGCCACCCAUACAUUAAUUAAACCCUAAUAAUCAAAAAGGGGAGGCAAGUCGUAACAUGGUAAGUGUACCGGAAGGUGCACUUGGAAAAAUC
RNAcentral lists this ribosomal RNA (198 nucleotides) under Occella dodecaedron. Its description in RNAcentral is "partial 12S ribosomal RNA". It matches the Rfam family "Bacterial small subunit ribosomal RNA", at positions 1304 to 1533 of the family's 1533-position model. The record is from RNAcentral. Lineage: Eukaryota; Metazoa; Chordata; Actinopteri; Perciformes; Agonidae.